Molecule: transfer RNA, 65 nt
Filed under: Onthophagus nitidior
Lineage: Eukaryota; Metazoa; Arthropoda; Insecta; Coleoptera; Scarabaeidae
Description: tRNA-Glu
Source: RNAcentral
AAUUUAUUAGUUUAUUAAAAACAUUACAUUUUCAAUGUAAAAAUAAAUAUUUUAUUUAUAAAUUA